This is a long non-coding RNA of Mandrillus leucophaeus (drill), 626 nucleotides long. RefSeq lists it as uncharacterized. NCBI's taxonomy places the organism in Eukaryota, Metazoa, Chordata, Mammalia, Primates, Cercopithecidae. The record is from RefSeq and is a predicted model, not a curated record. The transcript has 2 exons.
UGUUUUGGUUUUAACUGCUGUGUCCCCAAUACCUGGAAGUGAACUUCUGGAAUCUAAUAGAUGCUGAAUAAAUAUUUUUUGCAUGAAUGAUAGUGGUAUGAGAGGAAGAGGGGAAAAAAGGGGGGAAAAGGCUUCUUGGAAGAGGUGACGUUUGAGGAUAUAUUUCCAAUUAAAUAUACCUAAGUGACUCUGCCCACCUCUGCAACCCAAUGUCACAUUCGAAUCUUAUUGAACUACUUGACUGCAUUUCCCGAGAUCCCACCUCUUCUCGCCUGUACCCUGUGCGCGGAAAGUCAGCCCUCCACCUUCUCCCUGCUUCCACUCCCAAAAUACUUCGUGCUUCUGCAGCUCUGGAGUAUUUACCGUGUUGGCUGUUUAAAUUUCUGCCUCCAUCAGAAGGCAGAAACUGACUCGCGAACUAUUCCAUCCCCAGCCGAUAGUAGACGCUUAAAAAAGAACGAAAGAAGGUGGGUGGAGGACUUCAGUAACAUCAGGUGGCAGCCUCAAUUUUAUCGUUUGUGAAACGUGGAUAGUAAUUCCUCUAUCACAUGGCUGUUGUACGAAUUAAAUGAAAAAAAACAUAACACGCUAGCUUGUUCAAUAAAUGUGAGUUGAAUUAAAUCUGA